GGACGAACGCUGGCGGCGCGCUUAACACAUGCAAGUCGAACGGAAAGGCCUGCUUUCCCUUGUGGAUUGCGGGUACUCGAGUGGCGAACGGGUGAGUAACACGUGAGUGAUCUGCCCCCAACUUGGGUAUAAGCCUGGGAAACUGGGUCUAAUUCCCGAUAGGACUGCAGGGUGGUGCCUGUGGUGGAAAACGAUUUUCUAGUGGUUGGGGAUGAGCUCGCGGCCUAUCAGCUUGUUGGUGGGGUAAUGGCCUACCAAGGCGGCGACGGGUAGCCGGCCUGGGAGGGUGGACGGCCACAUUGGGACUGAGAUACGGCCCAGACUCCUACGGGAGGCAGCAGUGGGGAAUAUUGCACAAUGGGCGGAAGCCUGAUGCAGCGACGCCGCGUGGGGGAUGACGGCCUUCGGGUUGUAAACUCCUUUCGACCGCGAGGAAGCCACCUGGUUGGAAGGGUGGUGACGGUAGUGGUAGAAGAAGCACCGGCUAACUACGUG
This 495-nucleotide ribosomal RNA is filed under the name uncultured bacterium. RNAcentral's name for it is "partial 16S ribosomal RNA". It matches the Rfam family "Bacterial small subunit ribosomal RNA", at positions 27 to 507 of the family's 1533-position model. The record is from RNAcentral.